Alnus glutinosa is the source of this 599-nucleotide RNA transcript. It is a transcript of the gene named serine/arginine-rich splicing factor SC35-like, with no coding region annotated. The record is from RefSeq and is a predicted model, not a curated record. Lineage: Eukaryota; Viridiplantae; Streptophyta; Magnoliopsida; Fagales; Betulaceae. The transcript has 3 exons.
UUGUGAAGAAUGGUCUAGAGACCCACAGCCCACUGCCAACCAAUUUCGCAUCAAUUUGGGUCUAGAGACUCAAAUUCGAAAGAAUGAAACCUUAGCCGCUUCUUCUCCUCUCUUCUCGCUCGCUCUCUCUCACUCAUCCGCACUUGCAGCGGCAUGAUGUCGCACUUUGGGAAAUCUGGCCCUCCAAACAUCAGAGACACCUACUCCCUCCUUGUCCUAAACAUCACUUUCCGAACCACUGCAGAUGAUCUCUUCCCUCUCUUCGACAAGUACGGCAAGGUCAUCGACGUCUUUAUCCCUAGAGACCAAAGUGAAUUGAAAUGAAAAGGAAUAAAUAUUGCAAUAGGAGACGAGUCUUUCCUCUUUUACUGGAGAUGCGUAAUCAAAUGCUGUUUGAAGUGAGGCAUUUUCAACGGAAAUGUUGCAUAACGUGCUGUUUGAAGUGAGACAUUGACUGGGAUUUUAGAUCAGAAGUGUGAUUUUAUGCUCCAUUUGUUUGGGUCUAAAUUAUUUUUUAGAAAAUAUUUUUUAUAUUUUUCGGUGUUUGAUGCAACUCAAAAUAAUAGUCAACGAAAACCAUUUUUAGUUUGACCGUAAAA